UGUUUAUCCUAGUUUCCUAUAGUCCCUGGAGGCUGUGGGUGAUGCCAUGCCUGCCCUAGGGCUGAGCCAGUUGGCCUAGUGCCUGGGGGCCAAGGGCA
Cricetulus griseus (Chinese hamster) is the source of this 98-nucleotide small nucleolar RNA. NCBI's taxonomy places the organism in Eukaryota, Metazoa, Chordata, Mammalia, Rodentia, Cricetidae. The record is from Ensembl.